AAUAUUAACAACAUGUUUUAUUUCUUCCAUCAUUUCAUGAACAUCAAUAACAUCAGUCACAAACAAGAAGAACAAAAAACAAAUUUCAUAUAAGAUCGGCAAAAUAUUAAUUGAUUUAAUUUCCUCCAUUAUGUCAAGUUUAACAAUCAUGGCACAGAACAACUGACGAAGAUAAUAACUAUUUACUUCCGAAAUAUCACUUCCAUCCGUCUGAGGCCUCAUCGGUUCAUAAUCGAUUUGUAUUCAGGAUAUUUUCAAGUAUUAAACAUUUUGAUAUAUUAUUGAAAUUUCAUAUGUAGAGACACAGCUUGAAAUAUUCAUAUGACUGUGAAAAGAAACACGUAAAAUGUACAAUGUCGUCUUAAAAUUAGAAUUAACGCCUUCUGUACUAUUUUCUCGGAACACCUCUUGUCUGUAAACUGUGAAAGAACUUCUCAAGUUCUAACCGUGAAACGACAUCUUUUGACGGCGUCAAAUCGACACAAAUUUAUAACUUUAAAUAUUGAAUAAGUUUAUAUCCUUAAUCCAACAUUCAAACAAGACAAGAGAAUAACAUUCGUCAACAUUUCAGAAAUAAAACCGGUGAUGUAUGAACUCUUCCAUAAUUAAAAUCAGCUCUAAAACACAGGGACAAGACACUUAAUUAGUGUGUCCUCCAUUGUAAUUAAGUAAUCCUACCAUCCCUCCACCCAUAGAGUGCCGGGACCCUGUGCUGUCAAAUACACAGACUACUCUCGUUAAGAUGCGUCAGUGUCUAGUUUUGGUUUUGGUUUAAUUUCGAUUAACGUCCUAUUAACAGCUAAGGUAAUUUAAGGACGUGCCUCCAUGUGAGUUGUGUAAGCGUGCAUGUGUGUAUGUGUGCCGGAGGCCGGGCAUGUUGGUGUAAUUGUCUCUUUGUGAUAGCGCGGAUCUGAUGCCGACUUUAUAGUGCUAUCUCACUGAAAAUCCAUGCCGAAAGCACCCAACACAGCGUUCCGCCCGGUCACAUUAUACCGUCAGUGUAUAGAAUUAAAGUCACAUUAAUAUAAACCAUUAGUAAAUAGGUUUGUACAAUACUGGUUAAUUAAUUAGAUCAACUGCCCCAUUGAAAUGAGGCUUGAUUAGUAGAGACUUGAAGUUAUAUCAGAUUGUUCAGAACAUUUUAAAUCAGUAAAUAUGACCGAGUGGUUUUCUGGUCCUGGAUUUGGUUUUUAACAAAAGGUCCUUACAUGUUCUUUACUUAGAGUGAUACGGAGUCUGUCCUGCUAAUCAAAGGUCAUAGCAACCAUAACAAAUAUGUAUUUUAAUUUCAGAACAGUUAAUAUACUCAUAUUGACAAGUAAGCAAUGUGAGGCAGACAAUUUGAUGCCGAGGUGGUCAUGAUAGAUUUAUCUAUACCCGACAAAGUACUGGCAACACAAUUGACCGUACCGUCGUCGGCCGUGAGGUUAUACCAGGACCGCACUGGUCAGUAAUAUAAUAAACAAAAGUUUUAUCAGGACCGCACUGGUCAGUGAUAUAAUAAACACUGGUCAGUGAUAUAAUAAACAAAGGUUAUAUCAGGACCGCACUGUUCAGUGAUAUAAUAAACACUGGUCAGUGAUAUAAUAAACACUGGUCAGUGAUAUAACAAACAAAGGUUAUACCAGGACCGCACUGGUCAGUGAUAUAAUAAACAAAGGUUAUAUCAGGACCGCACUGGUCAGUGAUAUAAUAAACACUGGUCAGUGAUACAAUAAACACUGGUCAGUGAUAUAAUAAACAAAGGUUAUACCAGGACCGCACUGGUCAGUGAUAUAACAAACAAAGGUUUUAUCAGGACCGCACUGGUCAGUGAUAUAAUAAACACUGGUCAGUGAUAUAAUAAACAAAGGUUUUUGGCAACUGUCGCUGCAGUGUCCUGCUGUUUAUAAAACAAACAUGCAUUUUCAUGGACUUUUAAAGUAAUGGGAUACUUCCAUGAGAAUAUCAAAAGAUUAUUUUGCACCGGUUUAUUAGAAAUCCUCUCAAAAACUUGACUUACAAAUCUUUCGAUUAAAAAUCCCUUCGACGACACAUACUUGUUUCAUGGAAUUUUCCUACUUAUCACAAUGAAACGUAAAUAUACGUAUAUGACGGGAUUUUAAACAAUCCCAGUUGGUAACAAAAAUUCCGCGAGAUUUGACAUAUUUUGGGUUUACACAUAAGGAGAGACGAACGCGAAUUCAAACAUAUCGAAUUAUACAGACUUUUGGGUAUGCUAAGAGCAUUCCUGUCAGCCGAAAAUAUCUUCCCUUUGAAUCCAAACAAAAAUAUACCUUAUUAUGUCUAAAGUGUCACUGGCUA
Molecule: long non-coding RNA, 2304 nt
Organism: Mizuhopecten yessoensis (Yesso scallop)
Lineage: Eukaryota; Metazoa; Mollusca; Bivalvia; Pectinida; Pectinidae
Exons: 2
Source: RefSeq, a predicted model, not a curated record